Molecule: long non-coding RNA, 943 nt
Filed under: Mytilus galloprovincialis (Mediterranean mussel)
Lineage: Eukaryota; Metazoa; Mollusca; Bivalvia; Mytilida; Mytilidae
Source: RNAcentral
CAAAUCCAAAUGUCAGUAUUUGAAGGAACGUCUCACGAUGUAUGUGUAGGAACAUAUCACAAUGUAUUUAUGUAAAUAACAUCCUGAUGUUAACCCUUCAGGCUUAUGUAAAGUUGUUGUAGGUGAAUACGAAAUACCUAUGAUCACUUAAAAAUCACUAAAAUACAGUACUCCGAGGAAAAUUAAAAACGGAAAGUCCCUAACCAAAUUACAAAAUUAAAAGCUCAAACACAUCAAACGAAUUGAAAACAACUUUCAUAUUUGCAUAUUACAAUGUGUUCCCCAUGAUAAGGAAAAGCGACAAAAACACAAAGCCUUCCAUCAAUUGCUUACAGUGUUUUUUAUAUUUUGUUCCUUUCACAUCCAUCACAUUUCCCUUUUCCCCAAACAAGUAGAUUCAGUUUCGGAACCACUUUAUUAGCUUUGUUACAUCCGAUCAUUAAAAUAGAAUAGAGAAUAGAAACCGGAAAUGUGUCAAAGAAGAAACAACCCGACAAACAGCUCAAUGCCACCAAUGGGCCUCCAACGCAGCGAAAAAAUCAGAAAAUUUCAGAUGGUCCCAAAACAGAUAUGUAUUAUAGUUCAGCGAAAUGGACGCCAUACUCACUCCGAAACAUACAAAUAAAGCAAGUAUUUAAAAACCCACAAUGCUAAGAAAGGUUAGAGGUUCUAACGUUGGACAGGCGCAAUCAUGCAAAUAUGUUUUGUGAUAUCUCAACCCCUAAACACUCAGCAAAAUUCAGUUUAGUUGUAAAAUGAAUACCACAGAAGAGGAUGUUAGUUAUUCUUAAAGAUAAAAGAGGGACGAAAGAUACCAGAGGGACAGUCAAACUCAUAAAUCGAAUAUAAACUGACAACGUCAUGGCUAAAAAUGAAAAGGACAAACAUACAAACAAUAGUACACAUGACACAACAUAGAAAACUACAUAAUAAGCAAAACGAA